UGCCUUCGGUCGGACUCGAACCGACACGCAUCACUGCACGAGUUCCUAAAACUCGCAUGGCUACCAUUACAUCACGAAGGC
RNAcentral lists this transfer RNA (81 nucleotides) under Prasiola crispa. RNAcentral describes it as "tRNA-Leu". The record is from RNAcentral. Lineage: Eukaryota; Viridiplantae; Chlorophyta; Trebouxiophyceae; Prasiolales; Prasiolaceae.